GGGAUUGUGGCUCAGUUGUAGAGUACUCACCUAGCAUGUGUGAGGCACUGAGUUCAAUCCUCAGCACCA
RNAcentral lists this transfer RNA (69 nucleotides) under Marmota monax (woodchuck). It matches the Rfam family "tRNA". From Rfam's summary of the family: Transfer RNA (tRNA) molecules are approximately 80 nucleotides in length. The record is from Rfam by way of RNAcentral. Lineage: Eukaryota; Metazoa; Chordata; Mammalia; Rodentia; Sciuridae. RNAcentral also lists the same sequence under 2 other names.